GCAGGUUCAGGCACAGUUUAGACACCAGCACCUUUUAAAAAGUAUCACUUUAGCACCGGUAUCGGGAAAAACCCAAACCAUACCACACCCUAUUUCUGUUUUCCAGACAACUC
Long non-coding RNA from Etheostoma spectabile (orangethroat darter), 113 nucleotides. RefSeq lists it as uncharacterized. The transcript is spliced from 3 exons. Lineage: Eukaryota; Metazoa; Chordata; Actinopteri; Perciformes; Percidae. The record is from RefSeq and is a predicted model, not a curated record.